GUUGUUGGAGAAGAAUGGUCGGCAGAGUAACUGUUGUGGGCGUGACGGUAUCCAACCAGAAAGCCACGGCUAAUUACGUGCCAGCAGCCGCGGUAAUACGUAGGUGGCAAGCGUUAUCCGGAUUUAUUGGGCGUAAAGCGAGCGCAGGCGGUUUUUUAAGUCUGAUGUGAAAGCCCUCGGCUUAACCGAGGAAGCGCAUCGGAAACUGGGAAACUUGAGUGCAGAAGAGGACAGUGGAACUCCAUGUGUAGCGGUGAAAUGCGUAGAUAUAUGGAAGAACACCAGUGGCGAAGGCGGCUGUCUGGUCUGUAACUGACGCUGAGGCUCGAAAGCAUGGGUAGCGAACAGGAUUAGAUACCCUGGUAGUCCAUGCCGUAAACGAUGAAUGCUAGGUGUUGGAGGGUUUCCGCCCUUCAGUGCCGCAGCUAACGCAUUAAGCAUUCCGCCUGGGGAGUACGACCGCAAGGUUGAAACUCAAAGGAAUUGACGGGGGCCCGCACAAGCGGUGGAGCAUGUGGUUUAAUUCGAAGCAACGCGAAGAACCUUACCAGGUCUUGACAUCUUUUGAUCACCUGAGAGAUCAGGUUUCCCCUUCGGGGGCAAAAUGACAGGUGGUGCAUGGUUGUCGUCAGCUCGUGUCGUGAGAUGUUGGGUUAAGUCCCGCAACGAGCGCAACCCUUAUGACUAGUUGCCAGCAUUUAGUUGGGCACUCUAGUAAGACUGCCGGUGACAAACCGGAGGAAGGUGGGGAUGACGUCAAAUCAUCAUGCCCCUUAUGACCUGGGCUACACACGUGCUACAAUGGAUGGUACAACGAGUUGCGAGACCGCGAGGUCAAGCUAAUCUCUUAAAGCCAUUCUCAGUUCGGACUGUAGGCUGCAACUCGCCUACACGAAGUCGGAAUCGCUAGUAAUCGCGGAUCAGCACGCCGCGGUGAAUACGUUCCCGGGCCUUGUACACACCGCCCGUCACACCAUGAGAGUUUGUAACACCCGGAAGCCGGUGGCGUAACCCUUUAGGGAGCGAGCCGUCUAAGUGACAAGGUUGGGA
This 1050-nucleotide ribosomal RNA is filed under the name Lacticaseibacillus paracasei. RNAcentral describes it as "bacterial SSU rRNA". It matches the Rfam family "Bacterial small subunit ribosomal RNA", at positions 434 to 1480 of the family's 1533-position model. Lineage: Bacteria; Bacillati; Bacillota; Bacilli; Lactobacillales; Lactobacillaceae. The record is from RNAcentral.